RNAcentral lists this ribosomal RNA (450 nucleotides) under uncultured bacterium. RNAcentral describes it as "partial 16S ribosomal RNA". It matches the Rfam family "Bacterial small subunit ribosomal RNA", at positions 354 to 796 of the family's 1533-position model. The record is from RNAcentral.
GUGAGGAAUUUUGCGCAAUGGCCGCAAGGCUGACGCAGCAACGCCGCGUGGGUGAUGAAGGCCUUCGGGUCGUAAAGCCCUGUCAGGUGGGAAGAAAGGCCUGGAGAGGAAAGGUUUCAGGUUUGACGGUACCACCAGAGGAAGCACCGGCUAACUCCGUGCCAGCAGCCGCGGUAAUACGGAGGGUGCGAGCGUUAUUCGGAAUUACUGGGCGUAAAGCGCGUGUAGGCGGGGGGACAAGUCUGAUGUGAAAGCCCUGGGCUUAACCUGGGAAGCGCAGUGGAAACUGUUUUUCUUGAGUACUGGAGAGGAAGGGGGAAUUCCCGGUGUAGAGGUGAAAUUCGUAGAGAUCGGGAGGAAUACCAGUGGCGUAGGCGCCCUUCUGGACGGUAACUGACGCUGAGACGCGAAAGCGUGGGGAGCAAACAGGAUUAGAAACCCGGGUAGUCC